Molecule: ribosomal RNA, 374 nt
Filed under: Escherichia coli O45:H2 str. 2009C-4780
Lineage: Bacteria; Pseudomonadati; Pseudomonadota; Gammaproteobacteria; Enterobacterales; Enterobacteriaceae
Description: bacterial SSU rRNA
Rfam family: Bacterial small subunit ribosomal RNA
Source: RNAcentral
UUAAAUUGAAGAGUUUGAUCAUGGCUCAGAUUGAACGCUGGCGGCAGGCCUAACACAUGCAAGUCGAACGGUAACAGGAAGCAGCUUGCUGCUUCGCUGACGAGUGGCGGACGGGUGAGUAAUGUCUGGGAAACUGCCUGAUGGAGGGGGAUAACUACUGGAAACGGUAGCUAAUACCGCAUAACGUCGCAAGACCAAAGAGGGGGACCUUCGGGCCUCUUGCCAUCGGAUGUGCCCAGAUGGGAUUAGCUAGUAGGUGGGGUAACGGCUCACCAAGGCGACGAUCCCUAGCUGGUCUGAGAGGAUGACCAGCCACACUGGAACUGAGACACGGUCCAGACUCCUACGGGAGGCAGCAGUGGGGAAUAUUGCAC